Harpegnathos saltator (Jerdon's jumping ant) is the source of this 874-nucleotide RNA transcript. RefSeq lists it as uncharacterized. The transcript is spliced from 5 exons. Lineage: Eukaryota; Metazoa; Arthropoda; Insecta; Hymenoptera; Formicidae. The record is from RefSeq and is a predicted model, not a curated record.
CUUAACGCAGUGGAGAAUGGCGUAUGGGUACACCUUUCUAUCUAAAGCCAUAUACCGAACUGAACUACUGAACUCUUUGUGCAACCAAAGAACGCUUCGUGUCUUUCUGUUUUAUUUCUGACAACAUUUUAUCAAGAUAUAUACAUCUUGUCAAAUCUUCAUACAACCAUUUUUAAAUAUGACCGACAUAAAUAUGCAACGUGCAAAGUGUAACACGUAAGAUUGGUGUAUAGUACGUCUAAACAGUUUCAAAUUUAGUAAAUUUAUGACACAAAACCAACGAUAUUCAGCUACUACUAAAAAUGUAUAUUAAUUUUUCACCCCAAUAGUUACAGAGUGGACUUAAACUUCUAGCAGAGUGGUAGUUAAACUUUGCUUUGGGAAAUGUACCAAAAUAUUAAAAAUGAUGCAAGUAGCUUGUGGGAUCAAAGCUCUGACUCAAUUUAAUUUUAAUUAUUGGUUUAUAUGCUUCUAAGAGACACAAAAUAAGUGAUAGUAUUAUUCAUCUACGUCAUCUUAUGCCAUUUUGUGAGAUGAACAAUAAAGAAAAGAUAACCAAGAAUACUGAUGAAAUGCAUGGAUUUAAGAGAGCACUGGAACCAGAUAAAAUUAUUGGUGCGGCAGAUCUCACGGGGGAGUUGAUGUUCUUGAUGCAAUGGAAAGGGACAGAUGAGAUUGAUUUGGUUCCUGCCAAGGAAGCAAAUGUACAGUGUCCUCAAGUUGUUAUUCGAUUCUACGAGGACAGACUCACCUGGCAUAUGGCGAAAUCGAACGCAAAAUCAACGUUUGAAGGAACCAACGCAUGUUCAUAGGAAAUAUCGAUCAUAUAAUUGGAUAAUAAAUAUAUCGCGUUUUUGUAUUGUUUUUAAUCAAA